UGAGGAAUAUUGGUCAAUGGGCGAGAGCCUGAACCAGCCAAGUAGCGUGCAGGAUGACGGCCCUAUGGGUUGUAAACUGCUUUUAUAAGGGAAUAAAGUGAGAGUCGUGACUCUUUUUGCAUGUACCUUAUGAAUAAGGACCGGCUAAUUCCGUGCCAGCAGCCGCGGUAAUACGGAAGGUCCGGGCGUUAUCCGGAUUUAUUGGGUUUAAAGGGAGCGUAGGCCGGAGAUUAAGCGUGUUGUGAAAUGUAGACGCUCAACGUCUGCACUGCAGCGCGAACUGGUUUCCUUGAGUACGCACAAAGUGGGCGGAAUUCGUGGUGUAGCGGUGAAAUGCUUAGAUAUCACGAAGAACUCCGAUUGCGAAGGCAGCUCACUGGAGCGCAACUGACGCUGAAGCUCGAAAGUGCGGGUAUCGAACAGGAUUAGAUACCCUGGUAGUCCGCACGGUAAACGAUGGAUGCCCGCUGUUGGUCUGAACAGGUCAGCGGCCAAGCGAAAGCAUUAAGCAUCCCACCUGGGGAGUACGCCGGCAACGGUGAAACUCAAAGGAAUUGACGGGGGCCCGCACAAGCGGAGGAACAUGUGGUUUAAUUCGAUGAUACGCGAGGAACCUUACCCGGGCUUGAAUUGCAGAGGAAGGAUUUGGAGACAAUGACGCCCUUCGGGGCCUCUGUGAAGGUGCUGCAUGGUUGUCGUCAGCUCGUGCCGUGAGGUGUCGGCUUAAGUGCCAUAACGAGCGCAACCCCUCUCCUUAGUUGCCAUCAGGUUAAGCUGGGCACUCUGGGGACACUGCCACCGUAAGGUGUGAGGAAGGUGGGGAUGACGUCAAAUCAGCACGGCCCUUACGUCCGGGGCUACACACGUGUUACAAUGGCAGGUACAGAGAGACGGUCCCUUGCAAAAUGGAUCAAAUCCUUAAAGCCUGUCUCAGUUCGGACUGGGGUCUGCAACCCGACUACACGAAGCUGGAAUCGCUAGUAAUCGCGGAUCAGAAUGCCGCGGUGAAUACGUUCCC
Molecule: ribosomal RNA, 1018 nt
Filed under: uncultured bacterium
Lineage: Bacteria
Description: bacterial SSU rRNA
Rfam family: Bacterial small subunit ribosomal RNA
Source: RNAcentral